CCUACGGGGUGCUGCAGUGGGGAAUAUUGGACAAUGGGCGAAAGCCUGAUCCAGCCAUGCCGCGUGUGUGAAGAAGGCCUUCGGGUUGUAAAGCACUUUCAGUGGGGAAGAAAGCCUUGGGGCUAAUACCCUCGAGGAAGGACAUCACCCACAGAAGAAGCACCGGCUAACUCCGUGCCAGCAGCCGCGGUAAUACGGAGUGUGCGAGCGUUAAUCGGAAUUACUGGGCGUAAAGCGCGCGUAGGCGGUCUGAUAAGCCGGUUGUGAAAGCCCCGGGCUCAACCUGGGAACGGCAUCCGGAACUGUCAGGCUAGAGUGCAGGAGAGGAAGGUAGAAUUCCCGGUGUAGCGGUGAAAUGCGUAGAGAUCGGGAGGAAUACCAGUGGCGAAGGCGGCCUUCUGGACUGACACUGACGCUGAGGUGCGAAAGCGUGGGUAGCAAACAGGAUUAGAUACCCCAGUAGUC
Molecule: ribosomal RNA, 465 nt
Filed under: Vreelandella stevensii
Lineage: Bacteria; Pseudomonadati; Pseudomonadota; Gammaproteobacteria; Oceanospirillales; Halomonadaceae
Description: partial 16S ribosomal RNA
Rfam family: Bacterial small subunit ribosomal RNA
Source: RNAcentral